Molecule: ribosomal RNA, 513 nt
Filed under: Dermestidae sp. D MAC-2010
Lineage: Eukaryota; Metazoa; Arthropoda; Insecta; Coleoptera; Dermestidae
Description: SSU rRNA
Rfam family: Eukaryotic small subunit ribosomal RNA
Source: RNAcentral
AGCAGGCGCGCAAAUUACCCACUCCCGGCACGGGGAGGUAGUGACGAAAAAUAACGAUACGGGACUCAUCCGAGGCCCCGUAAUCGGAAUGAGUACACUUUAAAUCCUUUAACGAGGAUCAAUUGGAGGGCAAGUCUGGUGCCAGCAGCCGCGGUAAUUCCAGCUCCAAUAGCGUAUAUUAAAGUUGUUGCGGUUAAAAAGCUCGUAGUCGAAUUUGUGUCCCGCGCCGCCGGUUCAUCGCUCGCGGUGUUCAACUGGCGUGUCCGCGGGACGUCCUGCCGGUGGGCUUAGCCCGCGAGGGCGGCCCAACUGCAAAUCCCGCCGCGGUGCUCUUCACUGAGUGUCGAGGUGGGCCGGCACGUUUACUUUGAACAAAUUAGAGUGCUUAAAGCAGGCCAAAAUUUCGCCUGAAUACUUAGUGCAUGGAAUAAUGGAAUAGGACCUCGGUUCUAUUUUGUUGGUUUUCGGAACCCCGAGGUAAUGAUUAAUAGGAACGGAUGGGGGCAUUCGUAU